Molecule: small RNA, 681 nt
Filed under: Pongo abelii (Sumatran orangutan)
Lineage: Eukaryota; Metazoa; Chordata; Mammalia; Primates; Hominidae
Description: processed transcript
Source: RNAcentral
GUCCAAAAUCCACCAAAGAAAGUGACCUCUGAGAAAGUGAGCCGGAAAGAUGCUCAGCCUUUGACAGACGCUGGCUCUGAGACCCCGACUGCCCGACGGCUCUACACCGCCAGCGGGCCUCCCGAGGGCUACGUCCCCUGUUGGCCGGAGCCCAGCAGCUGUGGGAGCCCCGAGAACGCCUCCAGCGGGGACAACACAGAAGAGCAUAUGCCAGAGCAAGCCCCAAGCACAGCCUUGCAGCUGCAGACCCGAUGGAGCCUCCAGGGCCCUUAGGAGCCAGAGGCUGGGAGAAGCAAGGAUGGGACCCCUCUUUCUCUGACCCUCCAAGGUCAGCGUGGGAACAUGGCACACAAGAAGGAAGAGCCUUUGAGCUUUUUCGGUUGCAGUUUUAAGCACAGAGAUCAGGAUCCUCAUGACCAGCCAAAGAGAAAAAGAAUUAGGAAGCAUAAAUCAAAGAAAAAAUUUAAAAAUCCCAAUAAUGUUCUUAUAGAACAAGCAGAAUUAGAGAAACAGCGGAGUCUGUUACAGGAGAAAUCUCAGCAACAGCACACAGAUGGCACCACAAUAAGCAAAAAUAAAAAAAGGAAACUGAAAAAGAAACAGCAAAUUAAAAGGAAGAAAGCAGCCGGCUUGGCAGCAAAGGCUGCUGGUGUCAGUUUCAUGUACCAGCCGGAGGACAGC